AAACUUGACCUCAAAUCAGGUAGGACUACCCGCUGAACUUAAGCAUAUCAAUAAGCGGAGGAAAAGAAACUAACAAGGAUUCCCCUAGUAACUGCGAGUGAAGCGGGAAGAGCUCAAAUUUUGAAUCUGGCAGUCCUUGGCUGUCCGAGUUGUAAUCUAGAGAAGUGUUUUCCGCGCUGGACCGUGUAUAAGUCUCCUGGAAGGGAGCGUCGUAGAGGGUGAGAAUCCCGUCUUUGACAUGGACCACCAGUGCUAUGUGAUGCGCUCUCGACGAGUCGAGUUGUUUGGGAAUGCAGCUCAAAACGGGUGGUAAACUCCAUCUAAAGCUAAAUACAGGCGAGAGACCGAUAGCGAACAAGUACCGUGAGGGAAAGAUGAAAAGAACUUUGGAAAGAGAGUUAAACAGUACGUGAAAUUGCUGAAAGGGAAACGCUUGAUGUCAGUCACGUUGGCUGGGGAUCAACCUUGCUUCUCGCUGGGUGUACUUCCCGGUCGACGGGUCAGCAUCAGUUUCGAUCGCCGUACAAGGGUGAGGGGAACGUGGCACUCCUCGGAGUGUGUUAUAGCCUUUUGUCAUAUGCGGCGGUUGGGACUGAGGGAGCUCAGCACGGCUUCUUGCUUGUGCUUAGGAUGCUGGCAUAAUGGCCUUAAGCGACCCGUCUUGAAACACGG
Molecule: ribosomal RNA, 672 nt
Filed under: Butyriboletus roseogriseus
Lineage: Eukaryota; Fungi; Basidiomycota; Agaricomycetes; Boletales; Boletaceae
Description: eukaryotic LSU rRNA
Rfam family: Eukaryotic large subunit ribosomal RNA
Source: RNAcentral